RNAcentral lists this ribosomal RNA (478 nucleotides) under uncultured organism. RNAcentral describes it as "partial 16S ribosomal RNA". It matches the Rfam family "Bacterial small subunit ribosomal RNA", at positions 331 to 800 of the family's 1533-position model. The record is from RNAcentral.
GUACACUCCUGCGGGAGGCAGCAGUGGGGAAUUUUGGACAAUGGGCGAAAGCCUGAUCCAGCAAUGCCGCGUGAGUGAAGAAGGCCUUCGGGUUGUAAAGCUCUUUUGUCAGGGAAGAAACGGUGAGAGCUAAUAUCUCUUGCUAAUGACGGUACCUGAAGAAUAAGCACCGGCUAACUACGUGCCAGCAGCCGCGGUAAUACGUAGGGUGCAAGCGUUAAUCGGAAUUACUGGGCGUAAAGCGUGCGCAGGCGGUUUUGUAAGUCUGAUGUGAAAUCCCCGGGCUCAACCUGGGAAUUGCAUUGGAGACUGCAAGGCUAGAAUCUGGCAGAGGGGGGUAGAAUUCCACGUGUAGCAGUGAAAUGCGUAGAUAUGUGGAGGAACACCGAUGGCGAAGGCAGCCCCCUGGGUCAAGAUUGACGCUCAUGCACGAAAGCGUGGGGAGCAAACAGGAUUAGAAACCCCAGUAGUCCCAUGA